UGGCUUCCGUCGUAAGCCAUCAGUUUCCCACCCUCUUCUCUUCAUAUCUCGAUAGAGCUCUUCUUCGCGUCUCCUCGCUUCUUCUGCCGCCUGAAAAAUACUCGCUCGGAGAGCUGGAGAAAGAGGGAGAGACGUCGGAAGGGAAGAAGAAGAAGCCAUGUUUUAUUCGCAGUCCCUUCUAUCAAGGAAGGGGCCUUUGGGCAACAUAUGGAUUGCUGCGUUUUGCUUCAAGAAGCUGAAGAAAGACCAGAUUGCCGACACCGAUAUCUCCUCUUCUGUUGAUAAGAUCAUGCCUGAGGUUCAUAUUUCAUAUAGAAUAUUGGCUCAGCUACUUCUGGGUAUUGUCAGGAUAUUUUCAAAGAAAGUUGACUAUCUUUACCAUGACUGCAAUGAGGCUUUGACUAAUAUAAGAAAAUCAUUUAUGCCUAGUCAACGGAUUGUACAAAAUGAAGCAAUUGCCAAACCACGGCAUAAUGUUAUGCAAACAAAAAAAGUGAUACAUGUACCAGAUCAGAGAGUUAAUAUUGCAAAAGAAGCAACGUCCACAGCACCAAUUGAAGCCAUGCGUGCAUCAUAUAAUCAUGUUACUAUCACUGUACCAGAAAGAUUUGAACUUGAUUCCUUUGAUCUGGAUAUCUCAGAUGAAUGUGAAACUGCCAAAUCCCAUGAACAGACCAUUGCUCAAGAUGACUGGACAGAUGAAAGGGAUCAGACCUUUUUUCUAAAUGAGCAAUAUCACAGGGAAACAGUAAUUCAUGCUGAGUUCGAUUCUGCUUGUUUUACUCCAGUGGAUGAUGUUCUUCCAUCUCACAUGAUGGAUAUUGAUUUCACAAUUAGUCAAAUUUACAACUUGAACAGCAUGGGAGUUAGAGGGGGAAAAACUCGGGGACAUUCUCAGCAUAUAGAAGAAAGUGGGAGUUUUGCAGGUUUAGCUGCCAUGGAGUCACUAGGCCCUAAUGUACACAAUGUGGAAUCAGAUCAUCAAGUACAUCCUUUAAAGCUGCAAGAGAUGACACCAUCAGAUCCUGACAAAAACAUACAUGCUAAGGAAUUACAGAAACCAGUAGAGCCAAUUAUGUUGCAUCAGAUAUUAUCAUCAAAUCAUGAAAAAACUCAAAUCCUUGUUGGGGGAGAUUCAAAAGCUACAAGUCCAUCCAAAACUCAUGAUAGAACAUACUUACCAUGUGAUUUAGGGCUUGCUUCACCUAAAUUUACAGUCAGAACUCCAGCUAAGAGGGAACGUCCUCCGAUGCUGAGAAAAAGAAAAAAACUCUUUGAUGAAACAAUUGUGUUGUCCAAUGAGGCCUUGAGGCAGGGAAUACAUGAUGCUAGUAGUUUAAUAUUUAAGCGGAGGAAAGCACCUCACACGUAUCUGGAUGCCUGGAAAGCUGACAUAAUUGCCAAUUUGCAGCAAACUUUUAUGGAUCCUCUGGUGCCCUGUACUUCUUCAGAGCUCAAAGCUCUCUUCCAGAACAAAUCAUCCGAUUAUUUGUCCUCACAAAAGACACUUGCAGAGUAUCACACUGAAGCAGGAAAUGCACAGAAUGGAAUACCCAACAAAUCUGCUGACAAUGAAGAAACAUGCCAGGAAAGAAUAAUUGAAACUCCAGCAACAGAAGUGUUUGCUGAUGAACCCAGAACUAGUAAAUCAUCUGAAAUGGAAACCAACAAGCCAUCUUCUUUGGAAACAUCAGACACUGAACUGGAUUUGAUGGAUAAGGAGCUUGGCUCUCAUGAAGAAAGCAGUAUAGGUCAAGGUAUUGCUAUAUGGGUAGUAAAAGCAAUUCGGUUUAGCCUUUUGGUUUGCCACAUAUCCUUUUGCUUCUAUUUAGCAAAAGGGAAUACUAGCUUGAAUUUGCUCUACUUCAUUCUCACGCUUUGCUUCUAUUUAGCAAAAGGGAAUAGUAGCUUGAAUUUGCUCUACAUCAUUCUCACGCUUUCUAUGUUUGUCGCAGAUAACAGAUGGUCAGUCCGCACUAGGGCAGCGGCACAGUAUCUUUGUAGUAAGUUGCUAGAUAUUAAAAAUCGAGAACAAAAAGGAUUCUUAAGUUUGGCUCGAAUCCUAGAAGGGAAGACUAGAAGAAAAUGUGCUAGAUUUUUUUAUGAAACUCUGAAAUCUUCAUCAUCUUUUGUCAAAUUCUGAAUCUUUGCUUGUAGCUGAGUUGCUCCCAAAUGGAAAACUUGUACUUCGUCCCAAAACCAUGUCCAAAAAAAAUUGGCCGUUCUAGAACUGUUUGUCUAGGUCUAUAAAUUCAGAAAAUCUGGGAUAGCAAAAAUCAGGGAUGGUUCAGUUCCGGGUUGAGCAAUAGCCUAAAGUUACAGGUUUCUAUGAGACCUGGAUCCAGAUUCAGAUAUUAUAUAUUAAAAAACUUGAUUUGAAUUGAUUAAAAACCAGUUUGACCAUAUUUCAACCUGAUUGCUCUAUAGAAUACAAAGUAAUGACACCCUUAUAAUUCAGUCAACCUGGAUGCCAUCCAGUUUGACCCUAUGUAGCCCUAAUAUAUGCAGUACAGCAAAACAAUGUUUCAUCUGAUUACUUCAUAACAUUCCACAAUUAGUGAAUAUUUUAUUAAUAUCUAAACUUUUAGCACUACAAAUCAUCAGAGUAAAACUCGAAACUUGCAAUAUUUCAUUUAAGCAGUUGAUAACAUGUGACCUGAAUACUUGAUACUGAACAUGUAGCAUUAAAGUUUGUUAAACUAAGGCUUCAAAACAUGCAGCAUUUCACUGAAUACUUGAUAGUUUGAUAAUAAAGGAUCUGAAAAAAUUGUUACCAUAGUAUGUUCACUUAAACCAUUCAACAAAUCAUUUUCCAAAUUCCAUCAAUAAUCACACUCAGGUUUCAUCUUGCUAUUCCCAUCAAAAUAUCACUCAAAUUUUAUUUAUAUUAAUCACAUCCAUAUCACAUACAUGUUAUAGGAACACAAAACAAAGUUUAGAUAUUGAAUGUUGCAAACCCCCAAGGACUAAAGAAAUCUAAGUGCAAAAGCCAAGGAUGCCUCUGGGCCGGAAAAAAGGGGGACAUUCUUCUGAUUUCCAACCAAAAAUCCCUCCAAUCAUCAAAGUCAAAACACACGGAAAGCACACCUAUCAUGUGCUAGAACAAAAGAUAAAAGAACAAAUGUUUUUGCCCCAAAUUAUAAAUAUAUGCUAAUAAAUAAAAACUAACUAGUAUGACAACCAGAGUCCAGAGUAUUUUCCGUCAUAGUACCUCUUGUUCAUUCAAUUUCCAUUUCAAUCAAUCUCUACUUCCUUGGAGGCAUGAGAAGAAUUCCAGCAGAAAUAUCCAAAUAGAAGAACUUCUUAAGACCGUCAUCUUUGUCCUCCAUUUAUUUAUUUUUUUGGUUGUAAAUGUGGUCAUUCUAACAUAUCAACUAUAGAAUUUUAUGCAACUUUAAUAGAACCAAAGUUGAUUAAGUUUAAAUCCAAAUAACUGAUUACAAGUGUGUAUCAAAGCCUCAACAAAAUCCAUUGUAAGACAACUGUAAUAUGCUUAAACCCCCUACCCCCACAACUAAAAGCUGGGACAAGCUGCCGCAGCUAAAAGCUCUAGAAAUAUGAAUAAUCAAAAUGUCAGAAUAAUAAGUUAUGGGUGCAUAUCUCAGUCAUAAGAUAGCUGCAAGAUUCUUGAGUGCCCCAUGUCCAAAAAUAAAGGCUACAAUGAAAAUAGGAACAGUCAGAAUGCCACAGAACGUCCUAGAAACUUGAAGAUAUUGAGGGUGGAUAGAUUUAUAUGACACCAAAACAUCAUGUCUUUAUUUUUUUAAUCUAAUGUUGGUUCUUGCUGAUGAAAGUCCAACUCAGGCUUUUGUUCUUGGAUAUAGGAGGGAUGGCUUCUAAAUGUAUUAUAAAGCUGCACCAAAUAAGAAAUGCAACAAUUAAUUUACAAAAAGUAGCCAAAAUAUUUAGUCAUAAACUUAUAUUAUAGUUGCAAAUUUAAAUACAAAUAUUAUAACAAACUACCAACUAACUGUAGCAUAUGGAUCAUUUAUAUUGUCAUUCACGUCCUCAUUUGUCAACCUUCUGAGCUGGCUUAUUAGUGAAUACCUGAGAAUUGAAGCAUAUAACCUUUGAAACGGGUUAGAAAACUUCCCAUAAACAUUCAUAGCCUUCAGAAAACCUUCAUUCCCAUAAAUCCUCAUGUAAGUGAAUUCCACAACUUCCUCUUAGGAUUGUCGGUCCCUCAUCACACACCAAUACUUCUUAAAUUUAAAUUUAUGAUCCUCAUGUCAUUAAGUUUGCCUUUUAACCAAAAAAGAUUGAAUUUUCUGAACUCUAUGACAAAAUGAAUUUGCAGGAAGAAAAUUUUGUUAACUAAAAAAUGUCAAAUCAUAUAAAAUCUUUAAGAACUUAUUGGAGGAUGGAGGGUUUCAUAUUGAUGAUCCAAGUUGUUAGAUGUAUGAUCUACUACCACUAAAUUGGUUGCACACCAAUAACCAUGUGAUUUGGAGGCCCUCAACCCUUGCAUCAAGUAGUCAAAAAAUUGAACAAUUUAAAUCACACAAAACAAUGCAUAUUUUUUGAGCAUUUGAUGCAUGAAUUAGGAGUCUCUGAGUCAUAUGAUUUUUGGUGUGUAAGUAGUUUAAAGGGGUGCAUUUCUCAGAGUGUCGAGUGGCCAUUGUUGUAGAUAGGGAUAUAGAUGAACCGAGCAGCUCGCAAGCUGCUCGAGCUCGACUCGAUUGUUAUUAAGCUUGAGUAGCUCGAAUAGUUUUUCAAGUCGCGCUCAAGUAGCAAAAGCUCGCGAGCAUAGUCAAAUAUAUAUUUAAUAAAUUAUAUUUUAUUUAUAAUAUUUUCUAUUAAUUUAAUAUUUUAAAAUAUAAUAUUAUGUUAUAUUUUGUUUUAACCAUUUUUUUUAAUUAUGGCCAAGUUUUGAACUCGAAUUCAAGUAUAGCUCGGUUGAUAUUCAAGUCAAGUCGAGUAGAUCUUGAGUAUUGUUUUUUUUUUUUUUGAUCAGGUUGAGCAUGAGCUUGGAUAUUAAGGCUUGAUCGAUCUCGAGUCAAGUUUCUAGCCUAAGUAUUUUGAAUCACAUUGAGCUCGAGUCCCUAGCUACUCGACUCAACUUGCACCCCUAGCUGUAGAACCUCUCACUUUCAAGUAUUAAAAGAUAACUUAGAAGGGAGAGAGAUAAAUGGACACCAAGCAGACUACACAAAUAUAAUGUUUUAUUUGUAUUCUCUCUCUUUAACUACAAGAGUGCACACCUGUGUAUAUUUAUAUUGAUUAACAUGGAAGAGGUUAUAAUGACUGGACUGAACCGGACUCUUUUCCCAGCCCAAUUGUAACUCUUAGAGCACUUAUCCAGAAGUCAAUCAAUCCAUUUUUCAUCACAUAAUCUUUGACCUCAACUAGCUUCGCGAGAAGACUUAAUCUCACUGAGAUAUCCUGACUUCUAAGACUUUUUGAGAGUUCGUGUGCAAUUCUCUCUUCAAAUUCUAGACUAAUGCCUUGUGCCAUUAUAGCUCAUCUUAAUCCACCCACUGGGGCAUAUUUCAUCUAAUCAUAACAACUCAAAAAGCUUUCUAAAUUUGGAGAUGCUCACAACAACUGGUCAAGUUAGGUGGGUUUUAAACCUGGAUCCAACAUGAAGCUUUCUAAGUUAGGUGACUUUUUAGUCCAUUCGACCCUUGUGUAUAUAUCAAGACGAAUUUUGUCAAGGGAGAAUAACACAAGCACUUACAAGGAGAGCAAUUCUCCAAUGUGAUUUUAAUGAGACACGAGUGCAAGGUGAUAAAAGAAUAGCCGUGACACAUGUAGUAGUCAUACAAACUUGUUAAGAAUUGGUGACACUCAACCGGUGCUUAGUUUGCCAAAUGCCUAUCUUCCGAUGGAUUGAGUUGGGUAAAUGGAUUUGGUCAAGAAUAUUGUCUUAUAUACUUAUUGAGACAUUCCCCUGUGACCUAGGUUUAAACUAACCUCUUGAGCAAUAAGCUGAUGGUCACCUGCGACAACUCUAGCAAUAGGCUUCCUGGCAAGUCUUAAACAGCACGGAUGGAUGGAGAGGAAGGCACAGAUCAAUUGGAUGUGGCAAGAUCACAACAUAGAUGAUGGCACCAGAUGCAAUGUGGUUCUUUAUCUGCUGAGUUCCCAGAUUCUAAAGGGCCGUGGGCUCAUAGAUGUUAAGCAGGACUGUGCUUAUGGUGACAUUAUCAUAUCAGCGGGUCCUCAACUUGAAGCAGAGUUUAACAAUCCAUAGCGCAGGAACAGGACGACAGAUGUCUGUUUUGGCUUCUUUGUAAAUUUGUUAGCCUCCCAAUGUAGAAACAGAUCUGUAUAUAUUAUGAUUUUGCUUAAAAAUCAAACAGUUUCCAACAGGAAAAUUUCCUUUGUUUCAGAAAGAUUCAGUUCAUAUGUUCAGAAUCUCUCUUUCAUACAGGCGAUAAAACAUCUUGGACUCCACUUCA
This is a non-coding RNA of Phoenix dactylifera (date palm), 6401 nucleotides long. Lineage: Eukaryota; Viridiplantae; Streptophyta; Magnoliopsida; Arecales; Arecaceae. The record is from RefSeq and is a predicted model, not a curated record.